UGACUGACGACGUUCUGCGCGAGUCCGAAGUGCUGCCCCAAGACAAAGCCAACGCCAUUGGAAGAGGAGCGCGCAGACGGAAGUGACCUGCAUUUCAAUGAUUCACCGAUUCUCAUCAAAGCUUGCCCUUUGAAGCCACCAGUCAUGAGAUCUCAGUGGUCCUGGCUCUAAUGCCGACUCAUCAAACCAAGUUCCAAGAACGCUCCCGCAAAUGUAAG
This is a long non-coding RNA of Rhipicephalus microplus (southern cattle tick), 218 nucleotides long. The record is from RefSeq and is a predicted model, not a curated record. NCBI's taxonomy places the organism in Eukaryota, Metazoa, Arthropoda, Arachnida, Ixodida, Ixodidae.